RNAcentral lists this ribosomal RNA (759 nucleotides) under Curculio dentipes. RNAcentral's name for it is "eukaryotic LSU rRNA". It matches the Rfam family "Eukaryotic large subunit ribosomal RNA", at positions 63 to 623 of the family's 3401-position model. Lineage: Eukaryota; Metazoa; Arthropoda; Insecta; Coleoptera; Curculionidae. The record is from RNAcentral.
AACUAACUAGGAUUCCCUCAGUAGCUGCGAGCGAACAGGGAUAAGCCCAGCACCGAAUCCCGCGGCCGAUACCGGACGCCGGGAAAUGUGGUGUUCGGGAGGGUCCAUUAUCCCGAGAUUAUGCGGCGCGUCCAAGUCCUUCUUGAACGGGGCCACAGCCCAUAGAGGGUGCCAGGCCCGUAGCGACCGCCGCUGAUCGCGGGAGGAUCUCUCCUCAGAGUCGGGUUGCUUGAGAGUGCAGCCCUAAGUGGGUGGUAAACUCCAUCUAAGGCUAAAUAUGACCACGAGACCGAUAGCGAACAAGUACCGUGAGGGAAAGUUGAAAAGCACUUUGAAGAGAGAGUUCAAGAGUACGUGAAACCGUUUAGGGGUAAACCUGAGAAACCCGAAAGGUCGAAGGGAGAAAUUCAUUCGCGUUUCGACGCAGGCGUCGGACGGUCGUGCGACGGGAAGCGUUCGCGUUUUCCGCGCCCUCCGUUCGCUACGAACCGGCGUCGAACGCGUGCACUUUUCUCCUGGUAGGACGUCGCGAUCCGUUGGGUGUCGGUCUACGGCUCGCGGUGGAGCCCGUUCGUUUCGCCUUAAAAACGUACGAACGGACCCGCGUGUCCCGGCCGACUCGCUCGACGGUAUACGAAAGGUUUAAGGCCGCUCUCGGAGCGUUCGACUCGCGGCAAGCGCGCCAGAUGCGUCGGCCAUCGGACCCGGUGCCGAUUCUGACCUCUGGUGACUGUUGGCCGCGAUGUUCUCGAACAGACC